CUGACAGUCCCUUGCUGCUCUGCCCUGAUAAGGGUGGCGUCAGCACAGCCUGCUGCUGUCUUUUCUCUCCCCCAGGAACAGGCUGCAGGCGGAAGCAGGGGUUCCAGGCCCCCCAACUUUACGCACCAAGCCCAGAUCAGUGGGGGUGAGGUGGGGGGGCAGAUGGCAGCCUUGGGUGUGUGGGGGGCUGUUUUUCUCAGAUGCUCUGGAGUUCCCCGUCCUGACACAGGCUGAGCUGCGUGCCAGUAUUAUCAGCUGCACGGUUCUGGGCGACAUCCUCCAAAAUGGGCUCUCAAGAUUCUGGGUGGGAGAAACAGCCCAGGAAUGCCUGUUAAACACCCAGAGGUCAGCUGGCAGGGGCCGUGGGCAGCCACGUGGGGUGGGAUGGGAUCUGUCUCUCAUCGGAGCAGUUGAAUAAUGGAUCUGUCGUCCCCCAGGGUGGGGCACGGAGUCAGGGAUCAGACAGGGCCUUUCCCUGCUCGCUGCUGGAGACAAGCUUCUGAACAGCUCCACCCUGAACCUAUCUCCACCAAAAACUCUGCCUUUGGGAUUUCUUAUCACAGGGCGCGGUCAGUGUAGCGCUGGCAAUCAGAAGACCCCGCCUGUGACCUCAGGGCAAGUCACGCCCUGGUGCCGUGCCUCAGUUUACCCAGCUGUCCAGUGUGGAUCAUCCUGACAGCCGUGGGAAGACAGGAGCAGGAGGUGGUGAGGGUAGUGUUUGUUGAUGUUUGAAAAGCAUGUUGGGAUCCUGAGGUGGAAGGAGCUAAAGAGAGUGAAGGAUGAUUAUUGGCUAUUAUUAAUAAUCAUUAUAUUUGUGUGCAGGGAAAUGAUCCUAGGGUCCUUGGUCCCCUAAUGUUGAGCAUAAGAAAGAAAGAAGAAGCUAGAUGGGGUGUAUGGAGCUAGAUUCCCCAGUCACCCCCAUCCCUCCCUGCUCUGAUCCUGUCGGUCAUGCCUAUCCCAAGCACUCGGUUGCCAUGUGGUCCUAGCCAAUGCAGCGGCUGGUUGUUAUAGUUGCCUCAGCUGUUUCCUGCUCCCCCCACCAUCACCCAGAGCACAGAGCUGUCCCAACCCAGCCUCGUCCAUGGUUUGCCCCCUUCCCACCUCCCCCACCCGGCUCCAGGGAGAAGAGCCAAACCCUCAUCCCCAUCUCAGCAGCUUCUGGGGGAAGGGUUUAGCGCAAGCCCUCAGGAUGCUGCUGUGGCUGUAGCAUCGGCAAGCCAACACCCCUGAUCUCAUGCUUGGAAACAGCUGAGCCCUUUUAUCUGAAGCUUUUCCAAAAAAAUGCCUCUGGAGGCUGACACCUGGCCUGGGAAAUUUCAGCCCAAACCGGUUCAAUUAGGGUAAAGUGACAAGCAACUGAAGACAAGGUCUUAUCAUAGGACAUGUUAGGCAAUGCUAACUCCAGGCAGUGCUACCAGUCCUGAUGCUCUGGGCCUCAGUUUCCCCCUCUACAGAACGGGGAGAAUGAUACUCAGCUCCUUGGUAAAAUGCUCUGAGAUCUAUAGAUGAAACGUGCUAGGUGCUGCUUUCACCAUCUCCGGCUGCGUCCCACCCUGGCAGGCAUUAGUGCUACUGACUAGUGUCCCCUCCCGCCUGGGCUCCAGCACUGCCAUAAAUCUGGGUAUGAAGCCCUCAGAGAGCUCCAGCGUGCUAAACGCUGCACCACAUGCUCCCAUGAGCUCACCCCCAUCAGCUCCCCGUGAGCAGGUCCCACUGUCGCCAACCUCAAGAGAGCAAAAAACCUGAGUCAGACCUGAAAACAUGAGGAGAUUGGCUCCAAAAACAUGGGAUAUUUUUGUUUUUAAAGUA
Long non-coding RNA from Dermochelys coriacea (leatherback sea turtle), 1809 nucleotides. RefSeq lists it as uncharacterized. The record is from RefSeq and is a predicted model, not a curated record. The transcript is spliced from 2 exons. Lineage: Eukaryota; Metazoa; Chordata; Testudines; Dermochelyidae.